Molecule: ribosomal RNA, 2254 nt
Filed under: Escherichia coli
Lineage: Bacteria; Pseudomonadati; Pseudomonadota; Gammaproteobacteria; Enterobacterales; Enterobacteriaceae
Description: partial 23S ribosomal RNA
Rfam family: Bacterial large subunit ribosomal RNA
Source: RNAcentral
AGACCCGAAACCCGGUGAUCUAGCCAUGGGCAGGUUGAAGGUUGGGUAACACUAACUGGAGGACCGAACCGACUAAUGUUGAAAAAUUAGCGGAUGACUUGUGGCUGGGGGUGAAAGGCCAAUCAAACCGGGAGAUAGCUGGUUCUCCCCGAAAGCUAUUUAGGUAGCGCCUCGUGAAUUCAUCUCCGGGGGUAGAGCACUGUUUCGGCAAGGGGGUCAUCCCGACUUACCAACCCGAUGCAAACUGCGAAUACCGGAGAAUGUUAUCACGGGAGACACACGGCGGGUGCUAACGUCCGUCGUGAAGAGGGAAACAACCCAGACCGCCAGCUAAGGUCCCAAAGUCAUGGUUAAGUGGGAAACGAUGUGGGAAGGCCCAGACAGCCAGGAUGUUGGCUUAGAAGCAGCCAUCAUUUAAAGAAAGCGUAAUAGCUCACUGGUCGAGUCGGCCUGCGCGGAAGAUGUAACGGGGCUAAACCAUGCACCGAAGCUGCGGCAGCGACACUGUGUGUUGUUGGGUAGGGGAGCGUUCUGUAAGCCUGUGAAGGUGUACUGUGAGGUAUGAUGGAGGUAUCAGAAGUGCGAAUGCUGACAUAAGUAACGAUAAAGCGGGUGAAAAGCCCGCUCGCCGGAAGACCAAGGGUUCCUGUCCAACGUUAAUCGGGGCAGGGUGAGUCGACCCCUAAGGCGAGGCCGAAAGGCGUAGUCGAUGGGAAACAGGUUAAUAUUCCUGUACUUGGUGUUACUGCGAAGGGGGGACGGAGAAGGCUAUGUUGGCCGGGCGACGGUUGUCCCGGUUUAAGCGUGUAGGCUGGUUUUCCAGGCAAAUCCGGAAAAUCAAGGCUGAGGCGUGAUGACGAGGCACUACGGUGCUGAAGCAACAAAUGCCCUGCUUCCAGGAAAAGCCUCUAAGCAUCAGGUAACAUCAAAUCGUACCCCAAACCGACACAGGUGGUCAGGUAGAGAAUACCAAGGCGCUUGAGAGAACUCGGGUGAAGGAACUAGGCAAAAUGGUGCCGUAACUUCGGGAGAAGGCACGCUGAUAUGUAGGUGAAGUCCCUCGCGGAUGGAGCUGAAAUCAGUCGAAGAUACCAGCUGGCUGCAACUGUUUAUUAAAAACACAGCACUGUGCAAACACGAAAGUGGACGUAUACGGUGUGACGCCUGCCCGGUGCCGGAAGGUUAAUUGAUGGGGUCAGCGCAAGCGAAGCUCUUGAUCGAAGCCCCGGUAAACGGCGGCCGUAACUAUAACGGUCCUAAGGUAGCGAAAUUCCUUGUCGGGUAAGUUCCGACCUGCACGAAUGGCGUAAUGAUGGCCAGGCUGUCUCCACCCGAGACUCAGUGAAAUUGAACUCGCUGUGAAGAUGCAGUGUACCCGCGGCAAGACGGAAAGACCCCGUGAACCUUUACUAUAGCUUGACACUGAACAUUGAGCCUUGAUGUGUAGGAUAGGUGGGAGGCUUUGAAGUGUGGACGCCAGUCUGCAUGGAGCCGACCUUGAAAUACCACCCUUUAAUGUUUGAUGUUCUAACGUGGACCCGUGAUCCGGGUUGCGGACAGUGUCUGGUGGGUAGUUUGACUGGGGCGGUCUCCUCCUAAAGAGUAACGGAGGAGCACGAAGGUUGGCUAAUCCUGGUCGGACAUCAGGAGGUUAGUGCAAUGGCAUAAGCCAGCUUGACUGCGAGCGUGACGGCGCGAGCAGGUGCGAAAGCAGGUCAUAGUGAUCCGGUGGUUCUGAAUGGAAGGGCCAUCGCUCAACGGAUAAAAGGUACUCCGGGGAUAACAGGCUGAUACCGCCCAAGAGUUCAUAUCGACGGCGGUGUUUGGCACCUCGAUGUCGGCUCAUCACAUCCUGGGGCUGAAGUAGGUCCCAAGGGUAUGGCUGUUCGCCAUUUAAAGUGGUACGCGAGCUGGGUUUAGAACGUCGUGAGACAGUUCGGUCCCUAUCUGCCGUGGGCGCUGGAGAACUGAGGGGGGCUGCUCCUAGUACGAGAGGACCGGAGUGGACGCAUCACUGGUGUUCGGGUUGUCAUGCCAAUGGCACUGCCCGGUAGCUAAAUGCGGAAGAGAUAAGUGCUGAAAGCAUCUAAGCACGAAACUUGCCCCGAGAUGAGUUCUCCCUGACCCUUUAAGGGUCCUGAAGGAACGUUGAAGACGACGACGUUGAUAGGCCGGGUGUGUAAGCGCAGCGAUGCGUUGAGCUAACCGGUACUAAUGAACCGUGAGGCUUAACCUUACAACGCCGAAGGUGUUU